RNAcentral lists this ribosomal RNA (576 nucleotides) under uncultured eukaryote. RNAcentral's name for it is "SSU rRNA". It matches the Rfam family "Eukaryotic small subunit ribosomal RNA", at positions 174 to 758 of the family's 1831-position model. The record is from RNAcentral.
UAAGAACCCCGACUUCGGAAGGGGUGUAUUUAUUAGAUACAAAACCAAUGCCCUUCGGGGCUCUUUGGUGAUUCAUGAUAACUAUACGAAUCGCACGGCCUUGCGCCGGCGAUGGUUCAUUCAAAUUUCUUCCCUAUCAACUUUCGAUGUUUGGGUAUUGGCCAAACAUGGUUGCAACGGGUAACAGAGGGUUAGGGCUCGACCCCGGAGAAGGAGCCUGAGAAACGGCUACUACAUCCAAGGAAGGCAGCAGGCGCGCAAAUUACCCAAUCCCGACUCGGGGAGGUAGUGACAAUAAAUACUGAUACAGGGCCCUUUCGGGCCUUGUAAUUGGAAUGAGUACAAUUUAAAUCCCUUAACGAGGAACAAUUGGAGGGCAAGUCUGGUGCCAGCAGCCGCGGUAAUUCCAGCUCCAAUAGCGUAUAUUAAAGUUGUUGUGGUUAAAAAGCUCGUAGUUGAACCUUGGGCCUGGCUGGCCGGUCCGCCUCACCGCGUGCACUGGUCCGGCCGGGCCUUUCCCUCUGUGGAACCCCAUACCCUUCACUGGGCGUGGCGGGGAAACAGGACAUUUACUUU